This 322-nucleotide long non-coding RNA is filed under the name Homo sapiens (human). RNAcentral describes it as "non-protein coding lnc-DUPD1-6:1". The record is from RNAcentral. Lineage: Eukaryota; Metazoa; Chordata; Mammalia; Primates; Hominidae.
CUGGGGGCCUACAAGCAGGUCCAGAAGGGACCCCUGAAGCCGAAAGGCAUCACAGAGCUUGGAGUGACCAAGCAGAAGAAGAAAAAGAAGCACAAAGACAAGGCACAACUCAGGAAGAGAUGGGAACAAGCAAAAAGAAUGAGGAGAAGUGGUGCGGCCUGUUCAAGCUGACCCUAGCCCAGGAGAAAGUGCAGGAGAAGCGACACAUGGAAAGGAUCCUGAAGAAAGCAUCCCAGACCCACAGGCAGAGAGAGGAGGACUUCAGCAGACACCUGGACGCACACACGGAGCAUCGCGACACCCCCAAAGUCAGCUGGACCCA